GGGAACCUCACCCGGCCCGGACACCGCGAGGAUUGACAGACUGAGAGCUCUUUCUCGAUUCGGUGGGUGGUGGUGCAUGGCCGUUCUUAGUUGGUGGAGCGAUCUGUCUGGUUAAUUCCGAUAACGAACGAGACCCCAACCUGCUAACUAGCCCUCGGGUCCUGCUUCUGUUGGGCCCGACGGAAUGAUUCGCUUCUUAGAGGGACUCGCGGCGCCUAGCCGCACGAAGGGGGGCGAUAA
Molecule: ribosomal RNA, 240 nt
Filed under: uncultured eukaryote
Lineage: Eukaryota
Description: partial 18S ribosomal RNA
Rfam family: Eukaryotic small subunit ribosomal RNA
Source: RNAcentral